AAAUUGAAGAGUUUGAUCAUGGCUCAGAUUGAACGCUGGCGGCAGGCCUAACACAUGCAAGUCGAGCGGUAGCACAGAGAGCUUGCUCUCGGGUGACGAGCGGCGGACGGGUGAGUAAUGUCUGGGAAACUGCCUGAUGGAGGGGGAUAACUACUGGAAACGGUAGCUAAUACCGCAUAACGUCGCAAGACCAAAGUGGGGGACCUUCGGGCCUCAUGCCAUCAGAUGUGCCCAGAUGGGAUUAGCUAGUAGGUGGGGUAAUGGCUCACCUAGGCGACGAUCCCUAGCUGGUCUGAGAGGAUGACCAGCCACACUGGAACUGAGACACGGUCCAGACUCCUACGGGAGGCAGCAGUGGGGAAUAUUGCACAAUGGGCGCAAGCCUGAUGCAGCCAUGCCGCGUGUGUGAAGAAGGCCUUCGGGUUGUAAAGCACUUUCAGCGGGGAGGAAGGCGGUGAGGUUAAUAACCUCAUCGAUUGACGUUACCCGCAGAAGAAGCACCGGCUAACUCCGUGCCAGCAGCCGCGGUAAUACGGAGGGUGCAAGCGUUAAUCGGAAUUACUGGGCGUAAAGCGCACGCAGGCGGUCUGUCAAGUCGGAUGUGAAAUCCCCGGGCUCAACCUGGGAACUGCAUUCGAAACUGGCAGGCUAGAGUCUUGUAGAGGGGGGUAGAAUUCCAGGUGUAGCGGUGAAAUGCGUAGAGAUCUGGAGGAAUACCGGUGGCGAAGGCGGCCCCCUGGACAAAGACUGACGCUCAGGUGCGAAAGCGUGGGGAGCAAACAGGAUUAGAUACCCUGGUAGUCCACGCCGUAAACGAUGUCGAUUUGGAGGUUGUGCCCUUGAGGCGUGGCUUCCGGAGCUAACGCGUUAAAUCGACCGCCUGGGGAGUACGGCCGCAAGGUUAAAACUCAAAUGAAUUGACGGGGGCCCGCACAAGCGGUGGAGCAUGUGGUUUAAUUCGAUGCAACGCGAAGAACCUUACCUGGUCUUGACAUCCACAGAACUUUCCAGAGAUGGAUUGGUGCCUUCGGGAACUGUGAGACAGGUGCUGCAUGGCUGUCGUCAGCUCGUGUUGUGAAAUGUUGGGUUAAGUCCCGCAACGAGCGCAACCCUUAUCCUUUGUUGCCAGCGGU
RNAcentral lists this ribosomal RNA (1133 nucleotides) under Klebsiella pneumoniae. RNAcentral's name for it is "bacterial SSU rRNA". It matches the Rfam family "Bacterial small subunit ribosomal RNA", at positions 1 to 1125 of the family's 1533-position model. The record is from RNAcentral. Lineage: Bacteria; Pseudomonadati; Pseudomonadota; Gammaproteobacteria; Enterobacterales; Enterobacteriaceae.